ACCAACUGCUGCGCCACGGCCGUGGACUCGUGGCGCAUCUUUGUCGAUCUUGUUAGUUGGGGCAGUUGGGGACUAGUUAUUUUAGCUAUGGAGGGGUUGCCGGUCGACGACGCGGUGUUUAGCAGUAGCAGGGUAUGCGGCCUAGGGGGCCGUGCCCCGGCCCAGCUGCGUCCCUUUACCUCCACGGAGGACGCAUACUUAGCUCGUCGAUGGUAAAGCCCCUCCAUCCACGCGCCGCCAGUUUUCGGCGAAAACGCUUGUGGAGUCGAUACGGUCCCUUGGUGUAGUGGCUGCACUGAGUGCUGGCGCAGCUGGUCAUAGAAUGAAGAACCAGCUUUGUUGGCUUUCCGGAGAAAACGAGGGGCGGCCGGUGAGGAUGUGGUGAGGGAGACAACGCUGCCUCCUCGCCAUCAUUUGUGUUGACGACGACGAUAAUUGUACGCGCCAUCUUUCGAGCGUCCAUGCACUUAUUUAUUUAAUGUAACAAGCUUAUAGUUGCCGUGCGUAAAAUGACGUUACAAUAGAACCGGGCAAGAAAAAGCAACUGAAAACAAGCAGACCGAGACGGGCUUGCACGAGCUGAGAACAAGACUCACUCCUUGCUCUGCUAGCCGAUUUGCACACCUACCUACAGUGGCACAUUCUGGGCAAUCGACCAAGAAGUGUUCAUAUACCCUGUUGCAAAUAAAUAUCCAAUGACCCAAGUUGCCUAUUCGGGCACAUACUUAGAGGCCAGAGUUGUAUAAUCGCCAAGACAGCAGCAGCUAGCGCCCAUAAUAAGGGUAGAAGAGGUAAAUAAACUUGGCUUUAACCCUUUCUCUACUGCCGACGGGUUUAGUGGUGAUGAGUGUUUGUACUAAUAUUAUUGAUGACAAAUACAGUGAUGAAUGAAAAUGCCCCGCAGAGCAAACCCAUGACGCAUAUAGGUGUCAAAUUGAGUCUAGUUGCAAUUUUUGACACUAGGUUACCACACUUGUUCAUGUUGUGCCGUUGUUUCUCACCUUACUGUUUAUUGCCAGCUCCUCUGACACUUGCACGGGAAACAUGGCUGCCUUCCUGCCGCGUGGCAGUAAAAGGGCAUGCAAAAGGAAGUAUUUUGACGACUCCUGGUCACAAGAAAGCUCUCUAGAGCUUUGCUCAGAAACAGAAAAUGUGUCCUCCUCUGAGCACUCGGGCGACGACGAUUCUGUGGAUGGGCCGGAGGUUCUUGUUGCUGCCCACGAGUGAGACUCCAAGGCAGACAUUUUCCAAGAAUUCCCCCACAGAGAAGAAAACAACACCCACGAGGAUAUGCAUACUUUGCUGCCAGUCUGGAAACAAAGAUGGUUCACAGAAAAAUGAGGACAGUGCUGGUUCAAACAAACAGUGCAGAGUUGGCCUCUGUGCUGCGCCUUGCUUCAAAUCCUACCACACGAAGGCGACUUUGUGAAGUGCCUUUGGAGUUGUGGAAAAGUAGCCACUAGUCAUGUGCAGUCGCGAGCAAAAGUUUGUGGACCAAAGAUGCCACGAUUUUAUUUUUUUUCUUCGCAGCCUGGGCAUUCCGGCUGAAAUAAAGAGCGUGCGCCUACGUGCACGUGUUUGACCACUACAACGUAUUAAGCCAAUUCGAGGCCGCGGAGCUCUGCUUGUAUUUAAAUUGUUUGCCGAUGCCAUGGUCUCCAAACUUGUGCUCGCGACUGUACAUGCGUUUUGCAACUUUCGAUUAUUUCUCCUAUCUUUUUUCUCUUUCAUACUGUAACGCGCCUUGCAGAGCGCUGUGCCACAAGACCUCAGUGCAGUCCAGAGAAGCCCUCUUUAAACUUUUAUUUCAAGCAGUUUAACAAAUAAAGCAACCUUACUGAAUUGAAAAAAAUGGCACCAUUUUGUUCAGAAAAUAAAUCUCUAGAAACCGCCAAAAAAAGUUCUGGUAAAUUGGAUACCAUCCUCAUUUUUCACGGAAUGGAAAGGGUAAAAAAACCGCUUCCAUUAUAGCUCUCAGAGCAAUGAGAAUCAGUGUGGCUAUUCAGUAGGACCUCCAUGGUAAAAAAAUUAUCUUGUAGGUAAUGUGCUACGAUUUGUGUCAUAUCUGCUAACCCCGGGUGCACACGUUGCCCCCUAAGGCGCUAUUAAGCUGGUAAUAAAAAAAUGAGACAAUUACCCUUCUUGUAACUUUGCCAAGAUUGCUUCAACAGCAUAUGCUAUUCCUUUACAAUCAAUUUAGCCAGAGUAAAAUUUCGAUGCAGUAGGCCUUUAAAAAUUCUAUCUUUAGCAUGUGGCUGAUACUAGAGCACCGCCAUAUGCACUGGUCGCUAUCAUUACACUGGAAAGUACAUUGUCCAAACUGUGAUGAUGUGAACUUGCUGCAACGAGUCUAUUACAUGACAAGUGUACGAGACCACUUAGGCAGAUAAUUUUUUUCCCUUUCUUCGAAAGGCUGAGAUGCGGCCAACUUUUUGUUCGUGGAGUGUAAUGGCCACAUUGACAAAUGGGCCUUGAUUUGAAUCUUUUCCUCGACUUUGAGCGGUGCACAGCAUCGUCCUACAACUGUAAGAGCUAGUGCUUCAGCAACACUCAUUUCUUAUGAAAAGGAUUUUCUUGCGAAACAUACUUUUACUCCAGUGCAUCAAAGUAGAUCCCAAAAGCAACCUGGUCAGAAAGUUUUUCUUUUUGGAACCACUGAGGAGUGAAGCGCAAUUUCCAGUUCAUUCAGGUGGAGGGACAUCCUAGAAUACAAGGGAUUGUAAAGCGACAACUGCGCUCCCAUUUUGAAAGAGGGGAGACGGGAAAAAGCCCAUGGCUCACAAAUGUCACACCUGUAUAUUUGCCACGUCGAAAAAUAAGCUAAGCAGACACAGAGGCUCAACACAUUCCAGCCGUGUCACAGCUACGGUGUGGCCAGUCU
Long non-coding RNA from Dermacentor silvarum, 2881 nucleotides. RefSeq lists it as uncharacterized. NCBI's taxonomy places the organism in Eukaryota, Metazoa, Arthropoda, Arachnida, Ixodida, Ixodidae. The record is from RefSeq and is a predicted model, not a curated record. The transcript has 3 exons.